UAGACCGCUUGGGGAGUACGGCCGCAAGGUUAAAACUCAAAUGAAUUGACGGGGGCCCGCACAAGCGGUGGAGCAUGUGGUUUAAUUCGAUGCAACGCGAAGAACCUUACCUGGUCUUGACAUCCACAGAACUUUCCAGAGAUGGACUGGUGCCUUCGGGAACUGUGAGACAGGUGCUGCAUGGCUGUCGUCAGCUCGUGUUGUGAAAUGUUGGGUUAAGUCCCGCAACGAGCGCAACCCUUAUCCUUUGUUGCCAGCGGUUAGGCCGGGAACUCAAAGGAGACUGCCAGUGAUAAACUGGAGGAAGGUGGGGAUGACGUCAAGUCAUCAUGGCCCUUACGACCAGGGCUACACACGUGCUACAAUGGCGCAUACAAAGAGAAGCGACCUCGC
This 393-nucleotide ribosomal RNA is filed under the name Salmonella enterica subsp. enterica serovar Kentucky. RNAcentral's name for it is "bacterial SSU rRNA". It matches the Rfam family "Bacterial small subunit ribosomal RNA", at positions 865 to 1258 of the family's 1533-position model. Lineage: Bacteria; Pseudomonadati; Pseudomonadota; Gammaproteobacteria; Enterobacterales; Enterobacteriaceae. The record is from RNAcentral.